GGGGCUGUGGCUCGGUGGUAGAGCAUCUGCUUGGCAUGCAGAAGGUCCCAGGUUCAAUCCCAGUCAUCCCCA
RNAcentral lists this transfer RNA (72 nucleotides) under Sphaerodactylus townsendi. RNAcentral describes it as "tRNA-Ala". It matches the Rfam family "tRNA". Rfam says of the family: Transfer RNA (tRNA) molecules are approximately 80 nucleotides in length. Their secondary structure includes four short double-helical elements and three loops (D, anti-codon, and T loops). The record is from RNAcentral. Lineage: Eukaryota; Metazoa; Chordata; Lepidosauria; Squamata; Sphaerodactylidae.